RNAcentral lists this long non-coding RNA (248 nucleotides) under Fukomys damarensis (Damara mole-rat). Its description in RNAcentral is "lncRNA (ENSFDAG00000033275.1)". Lineage: Eukaryota; Metazoa; Chordata; Mammalia; Rodentia; Bathyergidae. The record is from RNAcentral.
GUUACUGCAUCCUGGCCUCUUGUCCUUUCUGUCUCCACCUGGUAGGGAAAACGGAGUGGACUAGACCUCCGGACUAAGGCUGCAUCCGCAGGAGGCAUCUGAGGAAGUUGAGGUUUUGGUUCCAAGCGUCCUCCCACCUGUUCAGAUGUUUGCAGCAGUUAAAGGGCAGUGAUUGCACGCAUUACAGGUUCACUCUGGGCAGCUGAGGAGGCAGGCAGAGGUAGCCAGGCCCCCCGCCAGGCCCGCCC